UACGGAGGAUGCGAGCGUUAUCCGGAUUUAUUGGGUUUAAAGGGUGCGUAGGCGGAUCGUUAAGUCAGUGGUCAAAUUGAGGGGCUCAACCCCUUCCCGCCAUUGAAACUGGCGAUCUUGAGUGGAAGAGAAGUAUGCGGAAUGCGUGGUGUAGCGGUGAAAUGCAUAGAUAUCACGCAGAACCCCGAUUGCGAAGGCAGCAUGCCGGCUUUCUACUGACGCUGAAGCACGAAAGCGUGGGGAUCGAACAGG
This 252-nucleotide ribosomal RNA is filed under the name uncultured bacterium. RNAcentral describes it as "partial 16S ribosomal RNA". It matches the Rfam family "Bacterial small subunit ribosomal RNA", at positions 524 to 776 of the family's 1533-position model. The record is from RNAcentral.